Long non-coding RNA from Capsicum annuum, 1215 nucleotides. RefSeq lists it as uncharacterized. NCBI's taxonomy places the organism in Eukaryota, Viridiplantae, Streptophyta, Magnoliopsida, Solanales, Solanaceae. The transcript has 5 exons. The record is from RefSeq and is a predicted model, not a curated record.
AUUUAAGAAGCUGAUCUAUUCUAAGUUGCAACGUGUAUGGGGCUAGAGGAGGAUAUUGAAGUAACAGAUGAUAUUGGUAUUGUAGAUGCUAUUCUAGCAUCUAGUGCUGAAAUGAAGCAGAUCUCUUGGAUUCGUAGCGUUGCCAAAUUUUAUUAGGGCCUGUCUUUGUUGUAAAGUAGUGUAUUUUCAGAGAAAAGAUUUGAGAAUGACAUCGAAAGUAAACGAGUCAUCACAACUUGGCAUUCUAUAUUGUUGUGAAUUAAGAGACCUCCAUUUUUCUUUCUUGGCUGGUUAAAUACCAUGGCGUAAAUGGUGCCGUAUGGUUCUUGGAAUGGAUUCUCUUCACUCAAAAUAAGAACUAAAAGAUUCAUUCAAUAUUGAAACUCAAGACGAGGUAAAAAAAGAAGAAAUUACAUUGGAGGAGAUCGAUGCCUUAGAGGAGGUUCGUCUUGCAAUUGAGUAUAUUUUCAUACCCAGUGGAAAGUAUGUUGAACUUCUCCCAAGGUGGUGAUCUGAGACAGUUGCCCAACACCUCAAGCUGGUUGAGAGCUAUUGGAAGAUGCCUGUAGCUGGUUGCAAAAUAUUCAGGUAUUGAAUCAAGCCCGAGGCUGCAAAUCUUUCCUCAGAAUCUAUACACGAAGAUUUUUGCAAAGCUGGCGAGAUCCAUUUCAAGUCAGAAUAUCACAGAUUAUGAGAAGAAAAGAGGUUGAUUUGAGCUGAUCAGGAUCAAAAUGGAGAAACGAAGUGCAGCUGGAAGACCUAGAGCAGAAAUCAGCCUCAGUUACCGUAAUCGCAGUUUGAGGGCUGCGAUCAUGGCUAGUUAAGCCAUGUCAAAUGAACUCUAUAGGGGUGCUCUUAAUGCGAUCGCGGUCAAGUUUCAGCGAUCGCGACAACGCGGGAUUAUGCUUAAGGGCAAUUUUCUAAUUUGUCCCAGUCGACCACAAAUUCCUUAAAGGAUCAAACAAUUCUCAUUUUUGGAUAUUCUAGAGAUUUUUAUCCUAUCCUUUAGUUUAGGAUUUUUGUAUCACUUGGAGCUUGGAGCAAAAUUUGUACUAAUCUUGAGAUAAGAAGAUACUAGAGUGACUCCUAAGUGAAGAACUGACAAAUCCCAUAGAGGAUUCAUCGGAAUUUAAAGUGUGGUUCGCAUUCACUUUAUUUUUCAUGAAUCAAAUUGAUAGAGAUGUUGGUAUAUUUUUGUUUAUUAUCUUUAUGAGU